This 490-nucleotide ribosomal RNA is filed under the name uncultured bacterium. RNAcentral describes it as "partial 16S ribosomal RNA". It matches the Rfam family "Bacterial small subunit ribosomal RNA", at positions 30 to 507 of the family's 1533-position model. The record is from RNAcentral.
AUUGAACGCUGGUGGCAGGCUUAACACAUGCAAGUCGAACGGUAACAGGAAUUAGCUUGCUAAUUUGCUGACGAGUGGCGGACGGGUGAGUAAUGCUUGGGAAUCUGGCUUAUGGAGGGGGAUAACUACGGGAAACUGUAGCUAAUACCGCGUAAAAUCUUCGGAUUAAAGGGUGGGACUUUCGAGCCACCUGCCAUAAGAUGAGCCCAAGUGGGAUUAGGUAGUUGGUUAGGUAAAGGCUGACCAAGCCGACGAUCUCUAGCUGGUCUGAGAGGAUGACCAGCCACACUGGAACUGAGGCACGGUCCAGACUCCUACGGGAGGCAGCAGUGGGGAAUAUUGCACAAUGGGGGGAACCCUGAUGCAGCCAUGCCGCGUGAAUGAAGAAGGCCUUCGGGUUGUAAAGUUCUUUCGGUGACGAGGAAGGUUGAUAGGUUAAUAGCCUAUCAAAUUAACGUUAAUCACAGAAGAAGCACCGGCUAACUCCGUG